This 294-nucleotide non-coding RNA is filed under the name Pongo abelii (Sumatran orangutan). The record is from RNAcentral. Lineage: Eukaryota; Metazoa; Chordata; Mammalia; Primates; Hominidae.
AGGAAGACGUGAUCCAGGCAACAGGAUAUUCCAGUAUAGACACUCCAGGAAAAACAAAAUCUUUUAAUCAGCAAAAUCCAUCAUAUUACUUAAGUCACAGAUGCUCACCAAGGAGAAGAGGUCAUUCUGUAAUCCAAGUCGAUCCACAGGGGGCAGAGAAAGGUCACGAAUGCCUGGUAAUAAACUUUCCAGCAUGGCAGAGCUGUACUGGGUCCGAUAAAACCCAACUGUUCCUAAGUUCAACUGCAAAGAUAUCCAGUAAGUACUAUUAAACAGCUCCCUUAAUUUUUUAAA